RNAcentral lists this small nuclear RNA (103 nucleotides) under Sciurus vulgaris (Eurasian red squirrel). The record is from RNAcentral. Lineage: Eukaryota; Metazoa; Chordata; Mammalia; Rodentia; Sciuridae.
GUGCUUGCUUUGCCAGUACAUACACUAAAAUUGGAACAAUACAGAGAUAAGCAUGACCCUGUGCAAGAACAACAUGCAAAUUUGUGAAGCAUUCCAUAUCCUU